AGUCAAGUAAUGAAGUGCACAUGGUGGAUGCCUUGGCAGUCAGAGGCGAUGAAAGACGUGACAGCCUGCGAAAAGCGUCGGGGAGGCGGCAAUAUCCUGUGAUCCGGCGAUAUCUGAAUGGGGAAACCCACUUGUCAUAAGACAGGUAUCGUAAAUUUAUUUACGAGGCAAACCGGGAGAAGUGAAACAUCUCAGUAACCCGAGGAAAAGACAUCAAUAGAGAUUCCCCUAGUAGCGGCGAGCGAACGGGGAGGAGCCGACUGAUUAUAAUUUAGAGGAAUGACUUGGAAAGGUCAAUCGUAGAGGGUGAUAAUCCCGUACUCGAAAGGUUAUAAGAAGCAUAUUAAGUAGGGCGGAACACGAGAAAUUCUGUCUGAAGAUGGGGGGACCAUCCUCCAAGGCUAAAUACUCCUGACUGACCGAUAGUGAACCAGUACCGUGAGGGAAAGGCGAAAAGAACCCCUGUGAGGGGAGUGAAAUAGAACCUGAAACCGUGUGCAUACAAGCAGUCGGAGCGGACAUGUUCCGUGACGGCGUACCUUUUGUAUAAUGGGUCAGCGACUUAUAUUCUGUAGCAAGGUUAACCGAAUAGGGGAGCCGUAGGGAAACCGAGUCUUAAUAGGGCGUCUAGUUGCAGGGUAUAGACCCGAAACCGAGUGAUCUAUCCAUGAGCAGGUUGAAAGUGACGUAACAGUUACCGGAGGACCGAACCCACUGUCGUUGAAAAGCCAGGGGAUGACUUGUGGAUAGGGGUGAAAGGCUAAUCAAACUCGGUGAUAGCUGGUUCUCCCCGAAAGCUAUUUAGGUAGCGCCUCGGACGAACACCAUUGGGGGUAGAGCACUGUUUCGGCUAGGGGGUCAUCCCGACUUACCAAACCGAUGCAAACUCCGAAUACCGAUGAGUGAUAUCCGGGAGACAGACGGCGGGUGCUAACGUCCGUCGUCAAGAGGGAAACAACCCAGACCGCCAGCUAAGGCCCCAAAUUCCUAGUUAAGUGGGAAACGAUGUGGGAAGGCACAGACAGCUAGGAGGUUGGCUUAGAAGCAGCCAUCCUUUAAAGAAAGCGUAAUAGCUCACUAGUCGAGUCGGCCUGCGCGGAAGAUGUAACGGGGCUCAAACUAGGAGCCGAAGCUGCGGAUUUAAUUGUUUCAAUUAAGUGGUAGGGGAGCAUUGUGUAAGCCUGUGAAGGUGUGUUGUAAAGCAUGCUGGAGGUAUCACAAGAGCGAAUGCUGACGUGAGUAACGACAAAACGGGUGAAAAGCCCGUUCGCCGGAAGACCAAGGGUUCCAGUCCAACGUUAAUCGGGGCUGGGUGAGUCGACCCCUAAGGCGAGGCCGAAAGGCGUAGUCGAUGGGAAAUCGGUUAAUAUUCCGAUACUUGUUUAUGAUGCGAUGGAGGGACGGAGAAGGUUAUGCCAGCUUGGCGAUGGUUGUCCAAGUGGAAGGAUGUAGUUAGGUUUAGUAGGCAAAUCCGCUAGACUAUUAAUGAGAUCUGAUAGCAAGCUGUACUUGUACAGCGAAGUGGCAAAUACCCUGCUUCCAGGAAAAGCUUCUAAGCGAUAGUCAUAAAGAAAUCGUACCCGAAACCGACACAGGUGGUCAGGUAGAGAAUACCAAGGCGCUUGAGAGAACUCUGCUGAAGGAACUAGGCAAAAUGGUACCGUAACUUCGGGAGAAGGUACGCUGCCGAUGGUGAGUAGUCACGCACUACAAAGCUAUUGGCAGUCGCAGAUACCAGGCCGCUGCAACUGUUUAUUAAAAACACAGCACUCUGCAAACACGAAAGUGGACGUAUAGGGUGUGAUGCCUGCCCGGUGCUGGAAGGUUAAUUGAUGGGGUUAGCGUAAGCGAAGCUCUUGAUCGAAGCCCCAGUAAACGGCGGCCGUAACUAUAACGGUCCUAAGGUAGCGAAAUUCCUUGUCGGGUAAGUUCCGACCUGCACGAAUGGCAUAAUGAUGGCGGCGCUGUCUCCAGCAGAGACUCAGUGAAAUCGAAAUCGCAGUGAAGAUGCUGUGUACCCGCGGCUAGACGGAAAGACCCCGUGAACCUUUACUACAGCUUUACAUUGAACUUUGACCUUACCUGUGUAGGAUAGGUGGGAGGCUUUGAAGCAGGCACGCCAGUGUCUGUGGAGCCAUCCUUGAAAUACCACCCUGGUAAUGUUGGGGUUCUAACUCAAGCUUAACAGAGCUGAGGACAAUGUAUGGUGGGUAGUUUGACUGGGGCGGUCUCCUCCUAAAGAGUAACGGAGGAGUACGAAGGUGCGCUCAGAACGGUCGGAAAUCGUUCGAAGAGUAUAAAGGCAAAAGCGCGCUUAACUGCGAGACCCACAAGUCGAGCAGAUACGAAAGUAGGUCUUAGUGAUCCGGUGGUUCUGUAUGGAAGGGCCAUCGCUCAACGGAUAAAAGGUACUCUGGGGAUAACAGGCUGAUACCGCCCAAGAGUUCAUAUCGACGGCGGUGUUUGGCACCUCGAUGUCGGCUCAUCUCAUCCUGGGGCUGAAGCAGGUCCCAAGGGUAUGGCUGUUCGCCAUUUAAAGAGGUACGCGAGCUGGGUUUAGAACGUCGUGAGACAGUUCGGUCCCUAUCUACCGUGGGCGUUGGAAAUUUGAGAGGAUCUGCUCCUAGUACGAGAGGACCAGAGUGGACGAACCUCUGGUGUUUCGGUUGUGACGCCAGUCGCAUUGCCGAGUAGCUAUGUUCGGAUGGGAUAACCGCUGAAAGCAUCUAAGCGGGAAGCCCACCUUAAGAUUAGAUUUCCCUAAAGAGCCGUUGUAGACUACGACGUUGAUAGGUUGGGUGUGGAAGCAUAGUGAUAUGUGUAGCUAACCAAUACUAAUUGCUCGUUUGGCUUGACUAU
RNAcentral lists this ribosomal RNA (2859 nucleotides) under Moraxella tetraodonis. Its description in RNAcentral is "23S ribosomal RNA". It matches the Rfam family "Bacterial large subunit ribosomal RNA". RNAcentral also lists the same sequence under 1 other name. The record is from RNAcentral. Lineage: Bacteria; Pseudomonadati; Pseudomonadota; Gammaproteobacteria; Moraxellales; Moraxellaceae.